AGGCAGCAUAUGUCACUGUUUUUUUGUUUGUUUGUUUUGUUUUUCUACCAGGGAUCAAGCUCAAAUCAGAACCUUGAGCUUGCAAGGCAGGCAGCAGCACCAUUGAGCUAAAUCCUUGUCCCAUGCCACUCACUGUUCAGAGAACUUCACCUCUAUAUAUUUAAUCCUGCCCAAUAACCCAGGACAGAUUAGUCUUAAUCUCCCCAUUCCACACACGGAAAAGAAAAACAAAACAAAAAAACAAAGGGAAGCUGCCAACCUCACUCAGCCAAUCGGGGAAUGCACCUUUUUCACUGAUGUUUUUAAUUCCUUAACUGCAGCCACAGGGACUAGGCAGAGCCAGGACUGUUUCAGAGCAUGUCCCCUCUGGCUGCUGGCUGUCACAUGUUAUCUAAGCACUGGCCACAUACCCGCAGGCAGUUAUGGAUACCUGACCUGCUGAGUUAGCAAGUCAGUGACCCUGGAGCCUUUGUCCUACUGAACAAUACUGAGUAUGACCCCUUCCUUCCAGGUAAGUCACUGAGGAGAUCUCACUAUCCACACUUCACAGGUGGCAGAAAAUAAAUGAAACUUCAGUCACUUGUCGAGGUCAACAUUAGCAUGAAGCAGCAGUCAGUGGUGACCACUGCUCUACAACCCCAACUACUGGAUGAGCAGCUACUCCUCUCGGGGCUUUAACAGGCAGCCAGUCACUUCUCAAAAAGCCCAUUCCCUGGUCCUCUUUAGACUGGAAGCCACAGCAAGUUUGCAACGCUUUCAUCUUCUCCCCAGCAAUGCUCCAUCAGUAAUGGGUCUGACUGUAUGGACCCAGAGAGGAAAAGGGCCUGUCCAAGGUCACCAAGCCAGAAAGGGACUGGAGCCCAGGACUGCGGAUACCUAGUUCAGGGCUCUGCCCACAACAUUGUUUGGACUCUUCUGCUAAUGAAAAGAGGGGUCACAGUCAAGACAAACAGUAAUGAUGCCUAGUACCAAGCUAGGUACUAGACAUAAAUGGAUCAAUUAAAACCCAUAAUGACCUCUCACCUCAAUUGUGGAUGAGAAUGAAGUCUUUGGGAAGCACAGAAUCAAGCUCUCACACCCAAUACACAGCAUGUGGAAACACCAACCAGAUCUCAUCCACAUGUCAAUCAAGGAAAUUC
RNAcentral lists this long non-coding RNA (1139 nucleotides) under Fukomys damarensis (Damara mole-rat). RNAcentral's name for it is "lncRNA (ENSFDAG00000025616.1)". Lineage: Eukaryota; Metazoa; Chordata; Mammalia; Rodentia; Bathyergidae. The record is from RNAcentral.